Molecule: long non-coding RNA, 371 nt
Filed under: Brassica napus (rape)
Lineage: Eukaryota; Viridiplantae; Streptophyta; Magnoliopsida; Brassicales; Brassicaceae
Description: long non-coding RNA (BNAP_LNC021352)
Source: RNAcentral
ACAACACUUGGUAAUCUAACCUAAUUUUAAAAUAGAAUUACAAACUACUAGAAACUACAAAUAUAUAUCUAUACUAUUAAAGCAUAAUCUUUAUUAGGAUUUUGACCUUAAUUUUUGAACUUAUUUACAAUGCAAUGCCACUGUCUUUUUUUUUUUACUUAACAAAAGAUUUUGGCCAACAUAAAUACAACCCAAAUUAUUGAUUUUACGGUUUGGAAAAAAGAAAGAUAUCAAAACAUUUACUCCUCUUUCGUAGGAAAGUAAUAUGUCAUCAAUUAAUAUGACACCAAAAUAUGGUGCCUUAAGUAACCAUUAUAAAAUUAACAGUAAGAAGGGGGGCGGGAGAGCUGUAUUUCGGUAAUCAUAAACUU